AAGAACAUUACAAGUUGGACAUUUUGCUUUUGUGUGGUGAUUGCUAUACUGUGUUGAUUUGCGACUAUGAAGUACGCACUAGCCCCAAAAUAGGCCUUAAUAAGACCUUUCUUAUGAGCUUAUGCUUCUCGAGUUAUCAAAUUUCUGCAUUUUCUUUUUAUUCUCGCUUAACUGACUUUUUUUUUUCUAUACAGGAAUAAAGUGGGACGUCAACAGUAAUAAGAACGCCACCCAUGAAAGCAGAACCCCGGGCUCUCCAUUGGAACUUUAGAGUGGACCACCGCACCGGUACGACGGUCACCUGGAGGCCCAGGAGUCAUCAGGACAAAUAACUCUGAAUAUAUAUAAAUUAUAUCUAAUGUGUUUGUGAUGACGGAGCAAUUAUGUCAAAAUGAAACACAUAUUUAAAAAUGUUUUUUGUCUCUUGUUAGCAAUGUAUUCAUAAAAAACUUCACUUGGAUUUCUCUGCAUUCACCCAACCACAUCGGCAUGUAUACAGAGUGUGCUCCGCAAGACAAAAGAUUUUUUAUGUUGCUUGGCUCCCAAAAGAGUUCUUCAAUUCUAAUACGUACAAGGUGUGUUCGAAAAGAAACCAAACUUUUGCUUUAACAUCUUUAUUGCUUAUUGUACAACAUUUUAUGCAUGGCCCCUUCAAAGUAGUCCCCUCUUCUGGCAAUACAUUGUUCCUAUCAUCUCAUCCAUUUUUUGAAAGCCUCCUGGAACACUUUUUCUGGGAUGGCGCGUAGGUCUCGUGUCGCAUUGUCUUGAAAUUUCUUUUAUGGGUUGGAAACGACGUCCUUUCAACGUGAUUUUAAGUUCGGGAAACAGGAAAAAGGCUUCUUGGGCUAGGUC
This is a long non-coding RNA of Dermacentor silvarum, 852 nucleotides long. RefSeq lists it as uncharacterized. NCBI's taxonomy places the organism in Eukaryota, Metazoa, Arthropoda, Arachnida, Ixodida, Ixodidae. The transcript has 2 exons. The record is from RefSeq and is a predicted model, not a curated record.